Molecule: ribosomal RNA, 450 nt
Filed under: uncultured bacterium
Lineage: Bacteria
Description: partial 16S ribosomal RNA
Rfam family: Bacterial small subunit ribosomal RNA
Source: RNAcentral
GAUGAACGCUGGCGGCGUGCCUAACACAUGCAAGUCGAGCGGCAGCGAGGGGUGCUUGCACCCUGUCGGCGAGCGGCGGACGGCUGAGUAGCGCGUGGGAACGUGCCCCAAAGUGAGGAAUAACUGCCCGAAAGGGUAGCUAAUACCGCAUAUUAUCUUCGGAUCAAAGGAUUAUCCGCUUUGGGAGCGGCUCGCGUCGGAUUAGGUAGUUAGUGAGGUAAUGGCUCACCAAGCCGACGAUCCGUAGCUGGUCUGAGAGGAUGACCAGCCAGACUGGAACUGAGACACGGUCCAGACUCCUACGGGAGGCAGCAGUGAGGAAUCUUCCACAAUGGGCGAAAGCCUGAUGGAGCAACGCCGCGUGCAGGACGAAGGCAUUCGGGUUGUAAACUGCUUUUAUAAGUGAGGAAUAUGACGGUAACUUAUGAAUAAGGAUCGGCUAACUACGUG